Molecule: long non-coding RNA, 1816 nt
Organism: Schistocerca americana (American grasshopper)
Lineage: Eukaryota; Metazoa; Arthropoda; Insecta; Orthoptera; Acrididae
Exons: 7
Source: RefSeq, a predicted model, not a curated record
UGGAAAAGUUUGACUAAAUGUUACUGUGUCCUGUUUGUAUAGAGCCUUUCUAUGUGUUUCACUGCAGUGUCUAUAGCUUACAGCAGUCAUAGAAUGUAUAUACAGACAUUUCUUAGCACAAAUUAAGUUCAACAUAAGUAACUAAAGAGAACUUCAAUCUUUCUUGCGAGCACAACUUCAUCACUUACAUAAAACAGUUUGCAUUGUAAACUAAGAAAAUCGUAUUACAUCACCACUUGGAUCUUGAGUCAACACCUAUGUAUUAUUUAACUGUUCCAUAUGCCUCAAUGUGUGAAACAACCAACUGGAGAUCUCAUCAACCAUACACUGUGUGUCAAGAGUUGGCUGACUUUAUAGUGUGACCCUGGAGUACUACCUCUUUCCUUCAGAGUACAGCUUUUUGGUGCAAAUAGAGUCUGCUACAGUUGUUGGUUAACCAGCAAAUCUGACUGCCAUAUUAAUGAUGCAGGAUGUGGAAUUGGUAUAGCCAAUGGUUGUGUUUGCUUGAGGACCAGACUGUGGUAAACCCCACUUGAAGAAAACAAGGAUUCAUUUGGAAGAGAAGUACCACAACAUGGCAUUAAUGACUUCUAUAACCUGCACAUGGUGGUGAAGGAGGUAACGCUUUGUGAGUGAUAUAGAGCAAAAGACCAAAGGGGCAGAAUGGCAAAGGAAUGUAUUGGUUUCCAAGCACACCAAAGGUGAUCAUGUGAAAAAGCGACAGACACUACAGAUGUACCAUCACAUGCUGUGUUACACAGUUAUCAGAAGAUGCAGACGUUUUAAUCUACUAGGAGCUCCUACUGAAAGUACAACUCAAAGACUUAAAGGGCCACAGGCAAAAUGGGUCCGGGUUGAGAAAAAAUUUCAACUGCAUCUGCAUUAAAAGACAUCUCAGCACCAGAACAAUUUAACUAAGACAUGGUUAAAAACUUCACAGCAACCACUGAUCUCAUCAUUUCGAAGAAUGUGGACGACAAAAAUGAGUUCAGUGAAGAUCCUUGCAAGGCUUUAAUAAAAGUAAACAUUCCCCCGAAUAAGUUGGAGAAUGAAGCAUUAAAGACCUUCUUGAAAAAAUACACAGGAAAACAUAUUCAUCAUGAGUCAACGCUAUUGUAUGAAAAGACAUUGGAGAAUGUUAUGACAGAAAUUGUCGAUUCUCCAGUCUGGCUGUCCGUUGGCGAAACUGGUCGGUAUAUGGUGCACGUCAUAGUUGGAAAACUCUCUGCUGACAAGGCUGGACGAGGACAUAUCAUAGUGUAGAAAGAAGUGGAACGAACGACACACGCCACGAUUGCACGCACAGUGCAGGAAGCAGUGUGCGUGCUAUGGAGAAGUGAGGACCAGAAACGUGGGGAGAACAAGGUUUUGGCCAUUGUGAUGGAUAGUGCCGGAUAUAUGCUGAAGGCUGCAGAGUGCCUCCGGGUGUUUUACCCUAUUUCACCUCACGUGUCUGGCUCAUGGCAUCCAUCGAGUGGCAGAAAAGGUCAGAGCCGCAUUGCCAGAGAUUAACAGCGUUAUAUCUUCGGCAGAGAAGGUUUUCAUAAAGGCACCGAGUGAGAGCUUUCAAGACUGCUCACCGUGACUGUCCUCUGCCACCUGAACCAGCCUUGACGGGGUGGGGAACGUGGAUUUCAGCUGUAAAUUAUUAUGCAGACAACCUCAGAAAAGUUGAAGAGGUCCUAAAGGACUUUGAAGAUAGCAAAAACAGCCAUUACAAAAUCUAAGGACGCCCUGAAGAGUUCUAGCGUGUUACACAGCCUAUCUUUCAUCCCAGCGCACUUUGGUGGCCUUCCAGACCUAACUGAGAAACGUG